GCUGCGGUGGUGUGUGCGUGUAAUUCAAGGUAGCAGAAGGCUGGAGGAUUGUUUGAGCUCAGAGCCUCUGAGCUACAUUGGACUAUGCUGGUCGGGUGUCCGCACUAAGUUCGAUAUUGAUAUGGCUCCUGGGGGAGCCCGAGACCACCAGGUUGUCUAAAGAGAUGUGCACUAGCCCAGGUUGGAGACGGAGCAGUUCAAAUCCUUCUCGCUCAGUAGUGGGGUUGAGCUUUGGAUAGAUGUUGUGUUGCAGCCUGAGUCAAGUGUAAUUUUUCU
This 276-nucleotide signal recognition particle RNA is filed under the name Pundamilia nyererei. RNAcentral describes it as "Metazoan signal recognition particle RNA (ENSPNYG00000006689.1)". It matches the Rfam family "Metazoan signal recognition particle RNA". Rfam says of the family: The signal recognition particle (SRP) is a universally conserved ribonucleoprotein. It is involved in the co-translational targeting of proteins to membranes. The record is from RNAcentral. Lineage: Eukaryota; Metazoa; Chordata; Actinopteri; Cichliformes; Cichlidae.